GCCUGACUGGCUCAGUCGGUUGAGCAUCUGACUUCAGCUCAGGUCAUGAUCUCAAGGUUUAUGGGUUCAAGCCCCAUGUGAGUCU
Molecule: non-coding RNA, 85 nt
Organism: Felis catus (domestic cat)
Lineage: Eukaryota; Metazoa; Chordata; Mammalia; Carnivora; Felidae
Source: Rfam